Molecule: ribosomal RNA, 532 nt
Filed under: uncultured microorganism
Description: bacterial SSU rRNA
Rfam family: Bacterial small subunit ribosomal RNA
Source: RNAcentral
GAGUUUGAUCAUGGCUCAGGAUGAACGCUGGCGGCGUGCCUAAUACAUGCAAGUCGAACGAACAGAUAAGGAGCUUGCUCCUUUGACGUUAGCGGCGGACGGGUGAGUAACACGUGGGUAACCUACCUAUAAGACUGGAAUAACUCCGGGAAACCGGGGCUGAUGCCGGAUAACAUGUUGAACCGCAUGGUUCUACAGUGAAAGACGGUCUUGCUGUCACUUAUAGAUGGACCCGCGCCGUAUUAGCUAGUUGGUGGGGUAACGGCCUACCAAGGCGACGAUACGUAGCCGACCUGAGAGGGUGAUCGGCCACACUGGAACUGAGACACGGUCCAGACUCCGUACGGGAGGCAGCAGUAGGGAAUCUUCCGCAAUGGGCGAAAGCCUGACGGAGCAACGCCGCGUGAGUGAUGAAGGUCUUCGGAUCGUAAAGCUCUGUUGUUAGGGAAGAACAAAUGUGUAAGUAACUGUGCAUAUCUUGACGGUACCUAACCAGAAAGCCACGGCUAACUACGUGCCAGCCGCCGACCCG